UACGUAGGGUGCGAGCGUUAAUCGGAAUUACUGGGCGUAAAGCGUGCGCAGGCGGCUUCGCAAGUCAGACGUGAAAUCCCCGGGCUUAACCUGGGAAUGGCGUUUGAAACUACGGAGCUGGAGUGUGGCAGAGGGAGGUAGAAUUCCACGUGUAGCGGUGAAAUGCGUAGAUAUGUGGAGGAAUACCGAUGGCGAAGGCAGCCCCCUGGGCCAAUACUGACGCUCAUGCACGAAAGCGUGGGGAGCAAACAGG
RNAcentral lists this ribosomal RNA (253 nucleotides) under uncultured bacterium. RNAcentral describes it as "partial 16S ribosomal RNA". It matches the Rfam family "Bacterial small subunit ribosomal RNA", at positions 524 to 776 of the family's 1533-position model. The record is from RNAcentral.